Long non-coding RNA from Acanthaster planci (crown-of-thorns starfish), 548 nucleotides. RefSeq lists it as uncharacterized. The record is from RefSeq and is a predicted model, not a curated record. Lineage: Eukaryota; Metazoa; Echinodermata; Asteroidea; Valvatida; Acanthasteridae.
CACAGGAACGUCGAAUAUUUCCUUCUCGGGCUCGGUUGUAUCAAGCUGUUCAAAGCAACGACAUCAACAUUAUAUAUGUUCUUAAACAGACGGUUAUUUCUUGUUUGUAACUGUUUGGAUAGAAGUACAUUAUUAUCAUGCUGCAUUUAGUUACCAUCCGCUGAGCACUUACUAGGGGCUCCAGAUGUCGGCUGUUAACAGAUGUCGUAUCCAAGGCAAUCCACGCAGCAAUGAUUACGAAAUCCACGAGCACAACCGUCAAGACUCCACAAAUAAGUUUCCAGUCAGAGGAGGCCUAACGCCAAGACAGCGCCGAUCGACGUCAGGGAGAACAGAAUCGCCCGUACGCUAGACGAUACUUCAAGGAUCUUAGAUCUCUGUGUUAUACCAUCCACGGGAACAUGACCACCUGUGUGAAGAUUAUGAGCCAAAGAAACAACGAGGAAAAGAUUCCACUAGGCUCCAGGACAACUCAACUGAGUCACCGGCGUGUCAGCUUCAGAUGAAAACGACCUAUUUGAAAAUACUAUGCGUGCACGAAGCGGAAG